GCUUUACAUAAUUUUUGUUUUUAUAGAUUUAUAAGUUUAAUUGUGAAAAAAAUAAAUUGUGUUUUGUUGGGGUGACAAGGGUAUAAUUUUUGGUAACUGCUUUAUUUUUAAAUACAUUAAUAUAUGGUUGUUUUGAUCCUUAAUAAAGAUUAAUAGAAUAAGUU
RNAcentral lists this ribosomal RNA (164 nucleotides) under Dynomene pilumnoides. RNAcentral's name for it is "partial 16S ribosomal RNA". The record is from RNAcentral. Lineage: Eukaryota; Metazoa; Arthropoda; Malacostraca; Decapoda; Dynomenidae.